AUCAGGUGGUGAUGGCUGCAUCAGGUGGUGAUGGCUGCAUCAGGUGGUGGUGGCUGCAUCAGGUGGUCUGCAUCAGGUGGUGGUGGCUGCAUCAGGUGGUGGCUGCAUCAGGUGGUGGUGGCUGCAUCAGGUGGUGAUGGCUGCAUCAGGU
Long non-coding RNA from Oncorhynchus keta (chum salmon), 151 nucleotides. RefSeq lists it as uncharacterized. The record is from RefSeq and is a predicted model, not a curated record. The transcript is spliced from 3 exons. NCBI's taxonomy places the organism in Eukaryota, Metazoa, Chordata, Actinopteri, Salmoniformes, Salmonidae.